CCUACGGGUGGCAGCAGUGGGGGAUAUUGCACAAUGGGGGAAACCCUGAUGCAGCGACGCCGCGUGUGGGAAGACGGUCCUCUGGAUUGUAAACCACUGUCCCCAGGGACGAAGAUGACGGUACCGGGGGAGGAAGCUCCGGCUAACUACGUGCCAGCAGCCGCGGUAAUACGUAGGGAGCGAGCGUUGUCCGGAAUUACUGGGUGAAAAGGGCUCGUAGGCGGGACUGCAAGUUGGGUGUCAAAUCUACCGGCUCAACCGGUAGCCGGACUCAAAACUGCAGUUCUUGAGUGAAGUAGAGGCAGGCGGAAUUCCUAGGGUAGCGGUGAAAUGCGUAGAUAUUAGGAGGAACACCAGUGGCGAAGGCGGCCUGCUGGGCUUUUACUGACGCUGAGGAUCGAAAGUGUGGGGAGCAAACAGGAUUAGAUACCCUGGUAGUC
This 440-nucleotide ribosomal RNA is filed under the name uncultured bacterium. RNAcentral's name for it is "partial 16S ribosomal RNA". It matches the Rfam family "Bacterial small subunit ribosomal RNA", at positions 338 to 795 of the family's 1533-position model. The record is from RNAcentral.